GACGAACGCUGGCGGCGUGCCUAAUACAUGCAAGUCGAGCGGAAUGAUGAAGAAGCUUGCUUCUUCUGAUUUUAGCGGCGGACGGGUGAGUAACACGUGGGCAACCUACCUUGUAGAUUGGGAUAACUCCGGGAAACCGGGGCUAAUACCGAAUAAUCCAUUUUGCUUCAUGGCGAGAUGUUAAAAGGCGGCUUCGGCUGCCACUACGAGAUGGGCCCGCGGCGCAUUAGCUAGUUGGUAGGGUAAUGGCCUACCAAGGCGACGAUGCGUAGCCGACCUGAGAGGGUGAUCGGCCACACUGGGACUGAGACACGGCCCAGACUCCUACGGGAGGCAGCAGUAGGGAAUCUUCCACAAUGGACGAAAGUCUGAUGGAGCAACGCCGCGUGAGUGAAGAAGGUUUUCGGAUCGUAAAACUCUGUUGUAAGGGAAGAACACGUACGAGAGUAACUGCUCGUACCUUGACGGUACCUUAUUAGAAAGCCACGGCUAACUACGUG
Molecule: ribosomal RNA, 500 nt
Filed under: uncultured bacterium
Lineage: Bacteria
Description: bacterial SSU rRNA
Rfam family: Bacterial small subunit ribosomal RNA
Source: RNAcentral